ACCUCAAGUCGAGAAAGGUUACCCGCUGAGUUGAAGCAUCUUCCUAAGCGGUGGAAAAGAAAGCAACUGCGAUUGGAUCAGUAACGGCGAGUGAACCUCCAUCAGAUCACAUGUAAAGGCCUCCGGGCCAUUGUAAUGGUAAGAGUAGGUGGACGUGUGAGAAAAGUCUGGAUGGAUCCAGCGCCACAGACCGUGACAGC
This 200-nucleotide ribosomal RNA is filed under the name Rhodomonas abbreviata. RNAcentral describes it as "partial Eukaryotic large subunit ribosomal RNA". It matches the Rfam family "Eukaryotic large subunit ribosomal RNA", at positions 1 to 219 of the family's 3401-position model. Lineage: Eukaryota; Cryptophyceae; Pyrenomonadales; Pyrenomonadaceae. The record is from RNAcentral.